CUCGGGGACAUAGCGAUAGUAUGGCUAACCAAGCUUUUCAACCUCAUUUUUCGGGCAAACAAGAUGCCAGAAGAAUGGAGACGGAGUAUAUUAGUACCAAUCUUCAAGAACAAGGGGGAUGUUCAGAGUUGUACUAAUUACCGUGGAAUUAAGCUGAUGAGCCAUACAAUGAAGCUAUGGGAGAGAGUCAUUGAGCACCGCUUAAGAAGAAUGACAAGCGUGACCAAAAAUAAGUUUGGUUUCAUGCCUGGGAGGUCGACCAUGGAAGCCAUUUUCUUGGUACGACAACUUAUGGAGAGAUAUAGGGAGCAAAAGAAGGACUUGCAUAUUGUGUUCAUUGACUUGGAGAAGGCCUAUGAUAAGAUACCGCGGAAUGUCAUGUGGUGGGCCUUGGAGAAACACAAAUUCCCAGCAAAGUACAUUACCCUCAUCAAGGACAUGUACGAUAAUGUUGUGACAAGUGUUCGAACAAGUGAUGUCGACACCGAUGACUUC
RNAcentral lists this ribosomal RNA (495 nucleotides) under Triticum aestivum (bread wheat). RNAcentral's name for it is "partial small subunit ribosomal RNA". The record is from RNAcentral. Lineage: Eukaryota; Viridiplantae; Streptophyta; Magnoliopsida; Poales; Poaceae.